GUAACAACUCACCUGCCGAAUGAACUAGCCCUGAAAAUGGAUGGCGCUGAAGCGGGUAGCCGACACCACGCCGUCUGGGCGAGUUAUUGCUCCGGAUGAGUAGGAGGACGUGGCGGUCGUAUCGAAGCGUGCGCGCAAGCGUGCGUGGAACGGCCGCUAGUGCAGAUCUUGGUGUUAGUAGCAAAUAUUCAAACGAAAACCUUGAAGGGCGAAGCGGGGAAGGGUUCCACGCGUACAUUGAUUGGGUGUGGGUGAGUCGUUCCUAAGCCGAGUGGCAAUAGCUAAUUACCGGCGAAAGGGAAGCAGGUUGACAUUCCUGCACACGGAUGUGGAGGCGGUGACGCACUUCUGGAGUAGUGAAGCUGGCUUUGGCACUGGGCAGAGUUGUCUUUUCUGUUUAACCGCUCAAACUGGCACUGUGUGGAAUCCGCUUGUCGGGAGAAACACGUGCCGACGGGCAAAGCGCCGGGAUUUUUCCGGCGUCCAGUUCGCCAUCGACGGACCUUGAAAAGCUACUUGCUGGCACAGUCCUUCAGAGUUCUUCUGGAGAUCCGCUGUGUGUGAAAAAAUCCACGCCGUGACGUACCGAUAACCGCAUCAGGUCCCCAAGGUGAACAGCCUCUGCUCGAUAUGGUAAAUGCAGGUAAGGGAAGUCGGCAAAAUAGACCCGUAACUUUGGGAAAAGGGUUGGCUCUAGUGCUGUGUGGGACUGGUUGCUGAGGUGUCCUGUGUUGUUCCAGUGUGUCACUGCGGCGGAGCGAGCAAGACCCCCUCGGGGGUGGCGCGAGCGCUGAAGCGGGGGCUGGCUGUUGAGCGACGCGGCCCGCGGCGACGCCCACGGCAUGCAGCAAACUAGAACUGCAACGGGCAAAGGGAAUCCGACUGUUUAAUUAAAACAAAGCAUUGCGAAGGCCGUGGCCGGUGUUGACGCANNNNNNNNNNNNNNNNNNNNNNNNNNUGUCAAAGUGAAGAGAUUCAAAUAAGCGCGGGUAAACAGCGGGAGUAACUAUGACUCUCUUAAGGUAGCCAAAUGCCUCGUCAUCUAAUUAGUGACGCGCAUGAAUGGAUUAACGAGAUUCCUACUGUCCCUACCUGCUUCUAGCGAAACCACAGCCGGGGGAACGGGCCCGGCAAAAAUGGCGGGGAAAGAAGACCCUGUUGAGCUUGACUCUAUUCUAAAACUGUGAAACGAGUUGGGAGGUGUAGCAUAGGUGGGAGAGGGGGCUUGCCUCCUCGGCCGUGAAAUACCACUACUCCCAAUCUCGUUUUACUUACCAGGUUGCUGUGGGCCGAGUCGAAAGACUCUUUGUUUCUGGACCCAACGUGUCGCGAGUUUCGGCUCGUGGCGCAGACCACCGCCUGGAACACUUUUAGGAGGGGAGUUUGGCUGGGGCGGCACAUCUUCUACAAGACAACGAAGGUGUCCAAAGAUAAGCUCAGUGAGAACAGAAAUCUCACGUAGCGCAAAAGGGUAAAAGCUUGUUUGAUUUUGAUUCCCAGUGCGAGUCGAAAACGCGAAAGCGUGGCCUAUCGAUCCUUUUGAAUUUCGAGAUUUGAAGCAAGUGNAUNCAGCAAAGUUACCNCAGGGAUAACAUGGCUUAUGCCGCCAAGACGUUCAUACGACGUCGCUU
Molecule: ribosomal RNA, 1631 nt
Filed under: Caloglossa postiae
Lineage: Eukaryota; Rhodophyta; Florideophyceae; Ceramiales; Delesseriaceae
Description: eukaryotic LSU rRNA
Rfam family: Eukaryotic large subunit ribosomal RNA
Source: RNAcentral